GAGGAUAUGAUGAUCCUUUCCCCAGAUGAUCAACAAUGAACAUACCGUGCGAUUGUUUUCUCUUAGGAGAUAAUCAAGCCUGAACAUUAUCCUC
Molecule: small nucleolar RNA, 94 nt
Filed under: Oryza meridionalis
Lineage: Eukaryota; Viridiplantae; Streptophyta; Magnoliopsida; Poales; Poaceae
Description: snoRNA snoZ103
Rfam family: Small nucleolar RNA Z103
About the family: This family consists of several snoRNA Z103 sequences which are members of the C/D class of snoRNA which contain the C (UGAUGA) and D (CUGA) box motifs. This family seems to be found exclusively in plants. C/D box small nucleolar RNAs are known to act as a methylation guides for 18S ribosomal RNA.
Source: Rfam by way of RNAcentral